This 3099-nucleotide long non-coding RNA is filed under the name Sus scrofa (pig). RNAcentral describes it as "lncRNA (ENSSSCG00040047749.1)". Lineage: Eukaryota; Metazoa; Chordata; Mammalia; Artiodactyla; Suidae. The record is from RNAcentral.
GUCUUUUGUCUUUCAGGGCCACUCUGGUGGCAUAUGGAGGUUCCCAGGCUAGGGGUCUAAUCAGAACUGUAGCUGCCAGCCUGCGCCACAGCCACAGCAACACCAGAUUCGAGCCGCAUCUGCAACCUACACCACAGCUCAUGGCAACGCCAGAUCCUUAACCCACUGAGCAAGGCCAGGGAUCGAACCCGCAACCUCAUGGUUCCUAGUCGGAUCUGUUUCUGCUGUGCCGCAAUGGGAACUCUGAUAACCACCAACUUGGUGGCUGAGACAAUACAAAUGUUUUCUCAUACCAUCUGAAGGUCAGGAGUCCAGAGUCAGUCUUGCUGGAUCAAAGUCAAGAUGUUGGCCUGGCUGAUUUUUCUGGAGACUCUGAGGGAAGAAUCGUUUUUUGCCUUUUUCAGUUUGUAGAGGCUACCUGCUGGUGGUUCUUUGUGUCAUUCCAACCUCUUUUCCUGUCGUGGCUCAUCAGUAAGGAAGCUGACUAGGAUCCAUGUAGAUGCGGGCUCGAUCCCUGGCAUUGCUUAGUGGGUUAAGGAUGUUGUGAUCUGUGGUGUAAUUCGCAGACACAGCUCGGAACUGGCCUUGCUGUGGCUGUGGUGUAGGCUGGCGGCUGCAGCUCCGAUUUGACCACUAGCCUGGAAAUUUCCAUAUGCCGCGGGUAUAGCCCGAAAAAAAAAAAAAAAAAAAAACUUUGUGAUUAUAUGUUGCCUACCUGUAAUCUAGGAUAAUCUCCCAUCUCAAAACUCUCAACCACAACUGCAAAAUUCCUCUUACUUUAUAAAGUAACACAGUGAAACCUUUCAUGGAUUAGGAUGUGGGUAUUUGGUGGGGGACAUUAUCCUGCCUCCCCCAGUGACAUUUUGUUUGCUUUAUUUUGCUUUGUAGCUAUUUUUCUUGUUAUCGUGUACAGCAUUCUUUUGAAUAGUUCCUGAAUCAGGUUAUAAAUUCCUCAAAGAUAACAACUCUUCCAUGUUUUAUACAUUUUCCUACUUCAUUAUGUCAUGUGUUUAAAGUAAAAACAAUGCUCAUAAUAGGCACUCAGUAAAGCCCACUGAUUUAAAUACUCUUAAAUUACAGUCUUUAGAAGGAGGCAUGGAUCUGGUCUACGUAUGUUCCAGGAAAAACAAAAUCUUACCUUUGACUUUUGAUUGUACAAACAGUUAGGCUAUGCAAGAAGUAAUGUAGAGUGAAAGCAUUAGAAUGUAACUUAUUUUCCAGAAUUCUCACUGUUGAACUGUAGACAGGUUUGGGGACAUUCAAUUAAGUGUCAAAAUUUACCAGAAAUCCAUGGGAUUAUUCCCGCCACACACUUCCCUCUGAUAAAAAGAGAACUAUUGCAAUUCUCGUGAGUGGAUGUGAAAACUUACACUGUAUGCUUUAACCUGCUCUCCCCAUAAACUUUGGAGGGAGAAUUGUUAUACAAUGGAAUUUGUUUCUGAUUUUUGCUACAAUAGUUGAUAAGCAGUGUACUGUGACUGAAAAUGAAUAUAGACACAAAAUAAUUCUCUCUCAGACAUAGGUACAUCUCCAAUGCAUGAUUGUUCAUCACUUACGAGUUGAAUUAGGAAAUUAUGGAGCCCAAUAUGUAAUUUUAAGGUAUUCAAUUUACAUUAAUAGAUAUCUAAAUGAACCAUAGAAUUAGCUUUAAAACAUAUAGCUCAAUUCACAUUCAUAAUUUUAAAAGUUAGUGAUGCUAUACUAUAUGGUAGUCUUGCAUAUAGUAUUUUGGUACAUAAUUAAGAUGAAAAGAAUAUCUUUGUCCUUAGCCCUCAAAAUUUGCAGUUGACCUUUUGUUCUUGACCUGUGCUGCCUUCAUAUUCCUGGCCCCACCCUGAGUUUUCUUCUCUAGAAUAGUAGAAUCUGAACUGUAAAGUUGGAAAGGACCCUAGAGGCCAUCUUUUCAAUGUGGAUGUUUUACACCUGAGUCCAUAGUUCUAGAGACAUUAAUUGACUUGCUUCAGAUCACACAGCUACUGGCAGAGCUUUAUUAGAAAUGCAGUUCUCCAAAACUCUGUAACGAUUUCCCUGCCCACGCCCCCACCCCAAUUAGGAAAGAUAGUUUAAGAGUAUAGGAAAAUAAGAGAAGUCUAGUAGUAAAGCAUUAGAGGGUGAGAGGAUUUUGGAAAUACUGUGGCUUAAGGGAAACAUGGUUCUCAGUCUCCUACUUUCCAAAGCUUAUUGUCUGUUAGAGCAGGAGGAGGAAGAUGUGUCUGCUUUGGGGGGUGAAAAUAAUGCCGAGGUAAAGGUUUAAUUCUGAUAGAGGGCUGGUGGGGAACUUCUCUCCACUAUGUGAAAGGAGCUCCUGAGAACUAAGGUCACAGGACCUGGAGAAAAAGAUAAUAAUAAAGGAAUGAGUAAAGAGAUACAAGGAAAUUGCAAAAAUAAAAAGAAAGAAAAAAGAAAGCAGAUGUGGCAAAAGUAAGAAUUAUGUUAAUAGUAGAAAAAGAGGUAUGUAAAGUUAAAAAUAGUAAUCAAUAUAGGCAAAUUUUGAGUAAUAAAGUGAUAAAAUGAACAAUUCAUGAAGACACUGAAACACCAAACAACAAAAGUCAGCAAAGACCACAUAGUAGCUAAAUAUAAAAAGGAAAAUCUAGGGGAGGGAUAAAUUAGGAGUUUGAGAUUAACAAAUACUUACUACUGUAUCUAAAAUAGAUAAAUAACAAGAAAGACCUAUUCUACAGCACAGGGAAAUCUACUCAAUAUUCUGUAAUAACCUAUAUGGGGAAAGAAUCUGAAAAAGAACUGAUAUAUGUAUAUGUAUAACUGAUUCACCUUGCUGUACAUCUGAAACUAACACAACAUUAUAAGUCAACCAAACAAAUAAAAUAUUUUUUAAGAGAAUAUUGGAGUUCUCGUCAUGACGCAGCGGUUAACGAAUCCGACUAGGAACCAUGAGGUUGCGGGUUCGAUCCCUGCCCCUGCUCAGUGGGUUAACGAUCCAGCGUUGCCGUGAGCUGUGGUGUAGGUUGCAGAUGUGGCUCGGAACCCGAUCUGGUGAGGCCGGUGGCUACAGCUCCGAUUAGACCCCUAGCCUGGGAACCUCCAUAUACCACGGGAGUGGCCCAAAGAAAUAGCAAAAAGACAAAAAAAAAAAAA